AAGACACCUGCAGUUUGGCUUUCCAAUUCUUGGCAUCCGCUACGACUGUCGGCAGGCAAUUACCGGCCAUUACGGCCUUCCUUGGAGCAGAACCGGGCUCAGGCGCAGCAAAUUUCAGGGCGCAAGCCAGGUCUGCAGAGGAGGCAACUUUGUUAAGAGACGAUAAGAGAUCUGGAAGUGGCUUUAAAGGAAGGGAGAGAGAAGCAGGACACUGUCCAGAUGCGGAGGCCCUUCUCUUGGCGCUCUCUUCCUUUUCCACCACAUGGCUCAGACCUCCCUCCUUCGGAAGCUAAAGUGCAUCUACCUGCGGGGACCACCGGCCAUGCUGGACCUGCCUGUAAAAGGGGAGCGUUAAUGGGAGCUGGAACGGUUUCUGCCGAGCGGCACACAGACAAGGCAGAAGCAGAGCUACCAUGCGAGAAGAACCCUACGAAGGGAGCGCAGGCUCGCCCAUCAAUUGUUAAGCCUGGACAGCAGGGUCAGCAAACUCAUGGGUCAUCUGAGCCCAGUCUUCCCCCCAACAGCCAGAUGGAUUGUUUAUAUUUCUUUUUAUAUCACAGUCCUUGGACUCAGCUAUACAGCUGCAAAUAUAAUGUUUUAAGUGUGUUUUAAGUGCUUUAUACAAAUGUGAAACAAGAUGGCGCUGGUGAGCUAAUGGCACAUUCCAGAUAUGUUUUAAAACAUGUUUUUUUAAAGCAUUUUCACAGUGUUUUUUUAUGUGUGUAGAUUCAGCCCUUAUUUCUGAAAUUGCAUAUGAACAUUUAAAGCCAGCAUAUGGAAA
Molecule: non-coding RNA, 781 nt
Organism: Podarcis muralis (Common wall lizard)
Lineage: Eukaryota; Metazoa; Chordata; Lepidosauria; Squamata; Lacertidae
Source: RefSeq, a predicted model, not a curated record